GAGCAGAGAAAAAGUUGGAGAGUAGAGCACAAACCCUUGCCUUGUCUCUCAUGGUUUCUGUCUUCCUCUUUCUCAAUCGCUAGUUGCCGUCGUUCGUGUGAGUCAUCGUCGCAGGUGUGCUUGCCGCCGUUUCAUCCACCCCAGCUGUGAGUUCUUCCUCUGUUUCACCGCCGUUCCUCCGCUUCUGUCAUUGUUUCAAUCCCUCCUUCUUCACUGUUCGAAGUUGCCUCCUCCUUUCUCUGUUUGUGUGAUGUGGUCAUUGAAGUCACUCUCUAUUUUUGGGGCGUGACACUUGAUGUAGGUCCCUCAUGCCAUUACGAGACUCCUAUAAAUGAAGCUUCAUCUUGUGGAUGCCAAUACACUUAAUCAUUCCCUUAUUACUUACUUGAGUUAUGGCAUUUGUAAUGAUGCUCUGUUUCUACUUGUUCUUUCUUUCUGCUUCCCUUUCUUCUUCUCUCAACCCCUUUUUUGUAAUUAUCGCACCCGAAAAUGCAACUCUGACGGUGCGAGAGUGGAGGUUCCGGCCUUCGGAAGGAAGACUGGAGAAAUGGGAGUCGCCACCAAGAUUUUGAGGGAAAUCUCGAGAAACCAUUUAAAGGUGGAUAAGGGUGGUCUGCAAAAACAGAAAAUAGGUUUGGGAGUCGAUUGAGUGUGGGGAAGGUGUUAGGCACCCCACAACACCCGUUCGUAAGAACGAUUACCUGAAGUUUGUUGUGCUAA
Molecule: long non-coding RNA, 720 nt
Organism: Prosopis cineraria
Lineage: Eukaryota; Viridiplantae; Streptophyta; Magnoliopsida; Fabales; Fabaceae
Exons: 3
Source: RefSeq, a predicted model, not a curated record